Molecule: long non-coding RNA, 329 nt
Organism: Lolium rigidum
Lineage: Eukaryota; Viridiplantae; Streptophyta; Magnoliopsida; Poales; Poaceae
Exons: 3
Source: RefSeq, a predicted model, not a curated record
UUGAAUCCGGGUUGAUUUUUAUGGAGAAGAUUGUGGUCAGAUUGAGAUUCGUAACCCCUUUUGUCCAUGAUGAACAAAUGGUGCUUUUGCUGCUGUGCUUGCAACCCGUUGUGCAGGAAUUUAUAGGAACAAUGGUUUUCUGAUGGUAUCGUGCAAUGAUGGUCUUAACCCAAUGCAAGCUGCUGUCUGUGAAUAAGAGAUCAAGAAGGCCAACAUGUGUGCAACUUUUCUUCAUUCUUAGAUCUGAACUCCUCUUGUAUUUUUACAUCUCCGUUUGCUUCUUAACCUGCCAAACAAUGAUCCAAAACCUAUAUACCCAAGGUAGCACA